UUACAGUGUAAAUAUAAUUACUGUGACAUAGAUUUGCUUUGGUUCACUGAGCUGGCAAUGAGCAAGCUUUACAGCAUUGUAUCUUUUUGUUCUUGCUUAAAUUGCCUUUCUAGUAGGUGGUUGGAGCUAGAACCCAGACCACAGCUGCAGUCCCAAUGUGCUGUUGUAACAGUAUUAGCAUAUAAAGUAGAUAUCAUUGCAGAGUGCAGGGCUGAUUCCUACCGGCCCUAUGCGCUGUGAGUGUAGCGGGAAAGGUCCAUUUCAGUGUGCUUGGCACAGCAGGAACCUGCUGACUUGGCAGUACCUGCAGGAGACUCCGUGCUUUUCAGUGGUGGCUGCUCUACACUCCUGGAUUUUGCCGCCUUGCCAGCAGCACUGGGACCAGAACAAGCAGAGAAGUGUUUUCCAUGGAAAUCUUCUUUCCUAGAUUGAAUGACCCUUAUGCACUGUGUCUUUCCUGGUUGCACAGACAGGUCUGUACCAACAAGUGUUUCUCCUGAAGGAACCUAGAGCAUCUGGACAGGUCUGAGUGGGUCUGGUGUGGAAACGCAGUCCUGGGGAGCUCAGAUACAUGACAGUGCUUAUACAAGUAGUUAACCUAAGAAUAUUGACUACGCCUAUGCAUGUGUUUGCCCUAAUAGCACUGGUCUGAAUCCGAUAUACUUAUUGCCUCCAGAGGAGGCUGGCGGCCAUUUUGUCAGCCCAGAGCUGCUGCUGCAGCUAUGCAGCAGCUUCUUCACUGCUGGUUUCUCUCCAUGUAAACCUUCCUCCCUUACCACAUGUGCCCCCAGGCCCCUGUUUGCCACUCUUUGUCUUUUAGGGGGAAAAAGCCAAGUGUGGGAGGCUGGAUGUUGUUCCCUCUGCUGCCUGAGGGACCCUCUUGUGGCUUCCGGAAGGUUCCACAGAGCUUCCUGUCAGUGCCGUGGGACAGCCAGCGCCUCGCUUAUGACCUGUGGACGAGGGUGCUUCUGUGGCUGUCCAAAAAAAAAGGGAUAAAAAAAUGCUGGAAACAGCACAGCUGGAGAGCACGUAAUACUGCUGAAGAGAUGCAAAGAGAAGAUGCAGUUCUAUUAAGAGAUUUCAUGAGUACGCACAGCUAUGCAGGACAAAAGGACAACUUCUUCAUGAAAAGAAAUACUGUUGCUGGCUCAGACUUGGUGAGAGAAAGAGAUACGGAUACAUUGUAUAUCAGUGGAAGAAGACAUGAGACUCCGUCUGAUGUAGGGGCUCUAAGAAAUGGGAUGAGCGCUGUGAACUGGGUACAUUCCUUCUGCCUUUCUAUUCUGCUCCCAUUCAGCACUUGUAAUGGUAAUGAAGUCUAAUUACAAAUGCAUGUGACUGCCUGUUGUAAUCUGUCAGUGUGUUUCUGAAAAACCUUGUGCCAGUUCAGUAUUGGUCAUUAGAUAAUAAGGAUUGAUAAAACGUAAGGGGCAAAAUGUUAAAAAUGCUACUAUCGAUUAGAACGCACCUUAAUAAUGAAACCAUGGGCCUGGGGACGAAAGCCAUGGAUCAUUUUGACAAUUCGGCCUUAGAUUGUGGAUGAGACAGAGUGGGGACAAUUAAUCCCUCAGAGCCACAAAUCACAAAUAAAGUAGUUGCAGCUCAUUACA
Molecule: long non-coding RNA, 1610 nt
Organism: Numida meleagris (helmeted guineafowl)
Lineage: Eukaryota; Metazoa; Chordata; Aves; Galliformes; Numididae
Source: Ensembl